UUAACUUUAAUCUCUUGUUUGACAGCGGUGGCUGACGGAGCAGAGAGCCCAGUGUCCACACUGUCGAGCUCCGCUCCAGCUGAGGGAGCUGGUGAACUGUCGCUGGGCAGAGGAGGUGACCCAGCAGCUGGACACCCUGCAGCUGUGCAGCCUCACCAAGCACGAGGACAACGACAAGGACAAAUGUGAUAACCACCGUGAGAAGCUGAGUGUUUUCUGUUGGACCUGUAAGAAAUGCAUCUGUCACCAGUGUGCUCUGUGGGGAGGCAUGGUAACGUUUCACAUCUUUU
Notothenia coriiceps (black rockcod) is the source of this 290-nucleotide long non-coding RNA. RefSeq lists it as uncharacterized. The record is from RefSeq and is a predicted model, not a curated record. NCBI's taxonomy places the organism in Eukaryota, Metazoa, Chordata, Actinopteri, Perciformes, Nototheniidae. The transcript is spliced from 3 exons.